AACGUAGGUCCCGAGCGUUAUCCGGAUUUACUGGGCGUAAAGCGUGUUCAGGCGGUCUAGCAAGUCGGGCAUGAAAUCUCUCGGCUCAACCGGGAGGGGUUGUCCGAUACUGCUGGGCUUGAGGGCAGCAGAGGGUGGUGGAAUUCCGGGUGUAGUGGUGAAAUGCGUAGAGAUCGGAAAGAACACCAACGGCGAAAGCACUCUGCUGGGCCGACACUGACACUGAGAGACGAAAGCUAGGGGAGCGAAUGGG
This 253-nucleotide ribosomal RNA is filed under the name uncultured bacterium. RNAcentral describes it as "partial 16S ribosomal RNA". It matches the Rfam family "Bacterial small subunit ribosomal RNA", at positions 524 to 776 of the family's 1533-position model. The record is from RNAcentral.